ACCGCGUGGAGGGCCGGACCACCAUAGUUGAAAAUAUGGGGGAGUGAGCUGUGGAUGGGGGUGAAAGGCCAAUCAAACUCGGAGAUAGCUGGUUCUCCCCGAACAUAUUUAGGUAUGGCCUUAGGUCAUGCGUCGCGGGGGUAAAGCACUGGAUGGGCUAGGGGUCACACCAGAUUACCAAACCCAACCAAACUCUGAAUACCGACGACGUCCUAUCCUAGGAGUCAGCCUGAGGGUGAUAACGUCCUCAGACAAAAGGGAAAAGAACCCUGACCGACAGCUAAGGUCCCCAAGUUAUGGCUAAGUGGUGAAGGAUGUGGGAGCACAUUGACAACCAGGAGGUUGGCUUAGAAGCAGCCAUCCUUAAAAAGAAAGCGUAAUAGCUCACUGGUCAAGUGAACCUGCGCCGAAAAUAUAACGGGGGC
RNAcentral lists this ribosomal RNA (425 nucleotides) under uncultured bacterium. Its description in RNAcentral is "bacterial LSU rRNA". It matches the Rfam family "Bacterial large subunit ribosomal RNA", at positions 761 to 1182 of the family's 2925-position model. The record is from RNAcentral.